GCCUUCGGGGUGUAGUGGUCAGUACGCUCGACGCGUAACCGAAAGGUCCGUGGUUCGAUUCCCGGCGAAGGCG
Molecule: transfer RNA, 73 nt
Filed under: Stegodyphus mimosarum
Lineage: Eukaryota; Metazoa; Arthropoda; Arachnida; Araneae; Eresidae
Rfam family: tRNA
About the family: Transfer RNA (tRNA) molecules are approximately 80 nucleotides in length. Their secondary structure includes four short double-helical elements and three loops (D, anti-codon, and T loops).
Source: Rfam by way of RNAcentral